Molecule: ribosomal RNA, 382 nt
Filed under: uncultured eukaryote
Lineage: Eukaryota
Description: partial 18S ribosomal RNA
Rfam family: Eukaryotic small subunit ribosomal RNA
Source: RNAcentral
GGUAAGCGUAUACCAAAGUUGUUGCAGUUAAAACGCUCGUAGUCGGAAUUUGGCAGUUCCGGAUGUGUGCACGUCGUGUGCGCACUUCGCGGGGAUUGCUUUUGUGGUCUUGCGUAGGAUGAGGCACUUUUAUUAGUGAACGUCCUCACGCAACCACUUUUUACUGUGAGAAAAUCAGAGUGCUCAAAGCAGGCAUUUGCCGUGAAUGUAUUAGCAUGGAAUAAUAGAAUAGGACUUGGUUCUAUUUUGUUGGUUUGUUGGGACUGAGUAAUGAUUAAGAGGGACAGUUGGGGGCAUUUGUAUUUCGGUGCUAGAGGUGAAAUUCUUAGAUUACCGAAAGACAAACUGCUGCGAAAGCGUCUGCCAAGGAUGUUUUCAUUGA